AAGACCUUGUGCUUUUGGAGCGGCCGAMGCCUGAUUAGCUUGUUGGUAAGGUAAAAGCUUACCAAGGCUUCGAUCAGUAGCUGGUCUGAGAGGACGACCAGCCACACUGGGACUGAGACACGGCCCAGACUCCUACGGGAGGCAGCAGUGGGGAAUUUUGGACAAUGGGCGCAAGCCUGAUCCAGCCAUGCCGCGUGAGUGAAGAAGGCCUUCGGGUUGUAAAGCUCUUUCAGUCGGGAAGAAAAGGUUGCGACUAAUAAUCGUGAUCAAUGACGGUACCGGAAGAAGAAGCACCGGCUAACUACGUGCCAGCAGCCGCGGUAAUACGUAGGGUGCGAGCGUUAAUCGGAAUUACUGGGCGUAAAGCGUGCGCAGGUGGUUUUGUAAGUCAGAUGUGAAAGCCCCGGGCUCAACCUGGGAACU
RNAcentral lists this ribosomal RNA (423 nucleotides) under uncultured bacterium. RNAcentral describes it as "bacterial SSU rRNA". It matches the Rfam family "Bacterial small subunit ribosomal RNA", at positions 202 to 622 of the family's 1533-position model. The record is from RNAcentral.